This 484-nucleotide ribosomal RNA is filed under the name Acinetobacter sp. HPC304. RNAcentral describes it as "bacterial SSU rRNA". It matches the Rfam family "Bacterial small subunit ribosomal RNA", at positions 99 to 577 of the family's 1533-position model. The record is from RNAcentral. Lineage: Bacteria; Pseudomonadati; Pseudomonadota; Gammaproteobacteria; Moraxellales; Moraxellaceae.
CAGACGGGUGAGUAAUGCUUAGGACUCUGCCUAUGAGUGGGGGACAACUUUCCCAAAGGGAUGCUAAUACCGCACACGUCCUACUGGAGAAAGCAGGGGAUCUUUAUGACCUUGCGCUAAUAGAUGAGCCUAAGUCGGAUUAGCUAGUUGGUGGGGUAAAGGCCUACCAAGGCGACGAUCUGUAGCGGGUCUGAGAGGAUGAUCCGCCACACUGGGACUGAGACACGGCCCAGACUCCUACGGGAGGCAGCAGUGGGGAAUAUUGGACAAUGGGGGGAACCCUGAUCCAGCCAUGCCGCGUGUGUGAAGAAGGCCUUUUGGUUGUAAAGCACUUUAAGUGGGGAGGAGGCUUACCUGGUUAAUACCUGGGCUAAGUGGACGUUACCCACAGAAUAAGCACCGGCUAACUCUGUGCCAGCAGCCGCGGUAAUACAGAGGGUGCGAGCGUUAAUCGGAUUUACUGGGCGUAAGCGCGCGGUAUGUG